RNAcentral lists this ribosomal RNA (255 nucleotides) under uncultured bacterium. Its description in RNAcentral is "partial 16S ribosomal RNA". It matches the Rfam family "Bacterial small subunit ribosomal RNA", at positions 524 to 776 of the family's 1533-position model. The record is from RNAcentral.
UACGUAGGGUGCAAGCGUUAAUCGGAAUUACUGGGCGUAAAGCGUGCGCAGGCGGUUAUGUAAGACAGAUGUGAAAUCCCCCGGGCUCAACCUGGGAACUGCAUUUGUGACUGCAUAGCUAGAGUACGGUAGAGGGGGAUGGAAUUCCGCGUGUAGCAGUGAAAUGCGUAGAUAUGCGGAGGAACACCGAUGGCGAAGGCAAUCCCCUGGACCUGUACUGACGCUCAUGCACGAAAGGCGUGGGGAGCAAACAGG